GAUGAAGAACGUAGCGAAAUGCGAUAAGUAAUGUGAAUUGCAGAAUUCAGUGAAUCAUCGAAUCUUUGAACGCACAUUGCGCCCGCCAGUAUUCUGGCGGGCAUGCCUGUUCGAGCGUCAUUUCAACCAUCAAGCCCUCGGCUUGUGUUGGGGACCUGCGGCUGCCGCAGGCCCUGAAAACCAGUGGCGGGCUCGCUAGUCACUCCGAGCGUAGUAAUACAUCUCGCUCAGGGCGUGCUGCGGGUUCCGGCCGUUAAAAAGCCUUAUUUACCCAAGGUUGACCUCGGAUCAGGUAGGAAGACCCGCUGAACUUAAGCAUAUCAAUAAGCGGAGGA
RNAcentral lists this unclassified non-coding RNA (335 nucleotides) under soil metagenome. Its description in RNAcentral is "partial contains 5.8S ribosomal RNA, internal transcribed spacer 2, and large subunit ribosomal RNA". The stretch from base 1 to 120 matches the Rfam family "5.8S ribosomal RNA", at positions 35 to 154 of the family's 154-position model. The record is from RNAcentral.